RNAcentral lists this ribosomal RNA (450 nucleotides) under uncultured bacterium. Its description in RNAcentral is "bacterial SSU rRNA". It matches the Rfam family "Bacterial small subunit ribosomal RNA", at positions 354 to 796 of the family's 1533-position model. The record is from RNAcentral.
GUGGGGAAUUUUGGACAAUGGGCGAAAGCCUGAUCCAGCCAUGCCGCGUGCAGGAUGAAGGCCUUCGGGUUGUAAACUGCUUUUGUACGGAACGAAAAGACUCUGGUUAAUACCUGGGGUCCAUGACGGUACCGUAAGAAUAAGCACCGGCUAACUACGUGCCAGCAGCCGCGGUAAUACGUAGGGUGCAAGCGUUAAUCGGAAUUACUGGGCGUAAAGCGUGCGCAGGCGGUUAUAUAAGACAGAUGUGAAAUCCCCGGGCUCAACCUGGGAACUGCAUUUGUGACUGUAUAGCUAGAGUACGGCAGAGGGGGAUGGAAUUCCGCGUGUAGCAGUGAAAUGCGUAGAUAUGCGGAGGAACACCGAUGGCGAAGGCAAUCCCCUGGGCCUGUACUGACGCUCAUGCACGAAAGCGUGGGGAGCAAACAGGAUUAGAUACCCCAGUAGUCC